GGGGCGCGGGGUGCGGGCAGGGCCGCCGCUCUCCCGGCUUCCCGCCUAGUGAGCGCACCUUGGACCCCUGCGGCUUUUCCGAGCCGAAACUCACGGGCUGUGGCCGGCUUCGUUUCGCGUCGUGCAGCUCCGCGACCGCCCGUGGCCACACCAGUCGGGGACUUCGUGCUUUACGAUGGGGGCGCAGCGGUCUGGCACGCGCAGGACCCCGGGCCUUGCACCCCAACGCUGGCCGCCCUGGACCCGCGGCGGGGACCCGCGCAGUCAGGGACGGACAGCGCCCACCCGGAGGAAAGCCUGACAGAUGAGACUUCGCAAGAGUGAGGAGAGACUGGCUAUUCUGCUCACGGUGUCCUUGGUCCCCGACCUCUGGAUGGCCAUGUCUCCGCCCCCCCACGGAGUCACCACCCAGCCUCACGAAUUCCUGGUCAUCUUGAAAAACCCAGUGCAGUGGUCAGGACCCCACAGGAUCUCAGGGGCUCUGCCAGAGCCCCGGCCCAGCGGUCAGGCCCCCACCAACUGUGGUCACGGUGCACCUCCGUCCCCGGCAUGGAGGGCCCUGACCCCCUACACCAGCCUGUUGGGCCCCUGGCAGGGUCUGCUGAGGCCUCUGCACCUGGCGCAGAGAGGUUGGGGGCAGAGACCUUGGGAGAGGCGCUCCCUGCCCCCUGCCCCCAGCUCCCACCUCUGCUUAGGAAGGGCAAACCCUGGGCUCUGACUCUUGCCCCAGCGUUGUGAGGCGACUCAGGGGCUGCCCCAGGGAAGCAGAGAGUGAUGGUGACUCAGGGGACCCCCAUGUCCUUGCCCAGAACUCCCCAGGGGUUCAGCCGACCUACUGCCACCAGUUCCCAGUGGAAGCCCCUCAGCCCCCAGGUGUGAGGGCAUGGGCAGUGGGGCAGGGCAGGAGCCUGGAUGAUGGUAUAUGGGGUGGGGCGGCCCCCAACUAUCUUGGCAUGUUGGCCUGAGGACAGCUGGGGCCUUCACCCUGUGCCAUGACCAUUCCAGCUUCUUGUAGCAGCACCUGCAUUUCCCUCUGGGCAGCCCCCUUUAUCCAUCCUCAGGUCAUGGGGAGCUUGGGUGGGGCUGACACUCCCCUGCCUAGGAGUUGGCAGAUGACCUGGGCGCGGCCAGCCAGACUGGACCCCUUAGCCUCGAGGCCUUUGCUGAAGCUCAUGUGAGGGGGCGACUGCCCCUGACAGGUGUUGGAUUCCAGCUGCUGUGGCCCUGAAGGUGGGUGGUGGGAAGAACGGGAGAAUGAAGCCAGCCUUGGGAGAGGUAGGACGCCAGCCCGGCCCAGCUGCUUCCAGCAUCUGGAUCCAGCCUCACCUGAAGCCAGCCACCUCCUGGACUGCAAAGUCAUUGUCAACACCGAAACACAGGGUUUCUGACCAUUGCAACCCAGGGUCCCGGCGUGUCGUGGCUGCAGACCCUGCAGACCCCUAUGAAGAUGGUCCUGCCUGCCUUGCAUCGGGCCUCUAGCUAGGGACUGUGGUUGCAGACGUAGUUCUGGGACUGAGCUCCUGGUGAGAGGCCAGUGGUGAGGGAAGAGAGACCAGCAGAGAAAAGAGUGGAGCCUCGGGCUGCUAGCAGAGUGGCAGAAACCGAGCCUGCGAGAGGAAAACAUUGUUUCCCGCGGCCUCCUGCUGAGCCAUGGGGACCCAGAUAUUGCGAAGUCCAGCUGGGGCCAACCCUAAGGAAGGAAGGAGGGAAGGGGACAGGGAGGGGUGAGGAGGAGAGGGAGGGAGUGACCUCUGCUUAGCACCUGCACUUGAGCAGCGGUGGCCUUUCACGCGCACACGCUUCCCCACCUGGAGCGCCGUCUCCAAUGCU
Homo sapiens (human) is the source of this 1830-nucleotide long non-coding RNA. The record is from Ensembl. Lineage: Eukaryota; Metazoa; Chordata; Mammalia; Primates; Hominidae.